RNAcentral lists this ribosomal RNA (397 nucleotides) under uncultured bacterium. RNAcentral describes it as "partial 16S ribosomal RNA". It matches the Rfam family "Bacterial small subunit ribosomal RNA", at positions 523 to 918 of the family's 1533-position model. The record is from RNAcentral.
AUACGUAGGGGGCGAGCGUUGUCCGGAAUGAUUGGGCGUAAAGGGCGCGUAGGCGGCCCGGUAAGUCUGGAGUGAAAGUCCUGUUUUUAAGAUGGGAAUUGCUUUGGAUACUGUCGGGCUUGAGUGCAGGAGAGGUAAGUGGAAUUCCCAGUGUAGCGGUGAAAUGCGUAGAGAUUGGGAGGAACACCAGUGGCGAAGGCGACUUACUGGACUGAAACUGAAGCUGAGGCGCGAAAGUGUGGGGAGAAAACAGGAUUAGAUACCCCGGUAGGCCACACUGGAACCGAUGAAUGCUAAGUGUAGGGGGUAUCGACCCAUUCUGUGCCGCAGUCAACACAAUAAGCAUACCGCCUGGGGAGUACGGCUGCAAGCUGGAAACUCAAAGGAAUUGACGGGG